RNAcentral lists this non-coding RNA (24 nucleotides) under Arabidopsis thaliana (thale cress). The record is from RNAcentral. Lineage: Eukaryota; Viridiplantae; Streptophyta; Magnoliopsida; Brassicales; Brassicaceae.
GAGAGCUAAUUUCAGAUCGCGGUU